This 299-nucleotide ribosomal RNA is filed under the name uncultured bacterium. RNAcentral describes it as "partial 16S ribosomal RNA". It matches the Rfam family "Bacterial small subunit ribosomal RNA", at positions 475 to 776 of the family's 1533-position model. The record is from RNAcentral.
CUAUGCGCCUUGCCAGCCCGCUCAGGUGUGCCAGCCGCCGCGGUAAUACGUAGGGGGCAAGCGUUAUCCGGAUUUACUGGGUGUAAAGGGAGCGUAGACGGCAGCGCAAGUCUGGAGUGAAAUCCCAUGGCUUAACUAUGGAACUGCUUUGGAAACUGUGCAGCUAGAGUGCAGGAGAGGUAUGCGGAAUGCGUGGUGUAGCGGUGAAAUGCAUAGAUAUCACGCAGAACCCCGAUUGCGAAGGCAGCAUACCGGUGCACAACUGACGCUCAGGCACGAAAGCGUGGGUAUCGAACAGG